RNAcentral lists this microRNA precursor (163 nucleotides) under Pelobates cultripes (western spadefoot toad). The record is from RNAcentral. Lineage: Eukaryota; Metazoa; Chordata; Amphibia; Anura; Pelobatidae.
ACGGACUCAUCAUUCCAGCCAAUCAGCAGCAGACCCUUCCUCCCAGACCCUUCCACCUCCUGGACAGCAUCCAUUUUGAAGCUGCAUUCUUAGUGAGCUGUCCAGGAGAUGGGAGGGUCUGGGAGGGAGGGUCUGCUGCUGAUUGGCUGGAAUGAUAAGUCCG